CAGCCGCCGCGGGAAUACAGAGGGUGCAAGCGUUAAUCGGAAUUACUGGGCGUAAAGCGCGCGUAGGUGGUUUGUUAAGUUGGAUGUGAAAGCCCCGGGCUCAACCUGGGAACUGCAUCCAAAACUGGCAAGCUAGAGUACGGUAGAGGGUGGUGGAAUUUCCUGUGUAGCGGUGAAAUGCGUAGAUAUAGGAAGGAACACCAGUGGCGAAGGCGACCACCUGGACUGAUACUGACACUGAGGUGCGAAAGCGUGGGGAGCAAACAGGAUUAGAUACCCCGGUAGUUCAUGUCUCUUAUAC
RNAcentral lists this ribosomal RNA (301 nucleotides) under uncultured bacterium. RNAcentral describes it as "partial 16S ribosomal RNA". It matches the Rfam family "Bacterial small subunit ribosomal RNA", at positions 509 to 807 of the family's 1533-position model. The record is from RNAcentral.